AGGAGCGCAGAGAAGGACGCUGUGGGUGAAGUGGAGGAGAGAGGAGAGAGGAGAAGAGAGUGGAGGCAUGUGAGGAGCGCAGCUUUGAGAGGGGGCUGGCAGCCGCUCCUUCUCUCCGACGCGCACCCAUCUCCAGAGACCCGAGAGAGGGGAGGAGAGAAGAGAGGAGAGAGAGGAGUCAGUGCCAGGAGAGCCCUCACACUCAUUCAUUUUCAUAUUUACACGCCACAUGUUUGCAUGUCUGGGAGAAAGUAAAGAAAGAGAGAAGGAGAAGGAGAAGGAGGAGAGGAAUCACCUCCGCGCGCCCUCUGCGCACGAGGCGUCGCGUUUAUUCCGCACUUUUUUACUCCACGUUUAACAGCGCGGGGCGCAGCGCCAGCUCCUGCUGCCACACACACACACACACACACACACACACACACACCUGAGCCGAAAGUGAGAAGUGACAGUCUGCCUCACACUGGAACCGUUUGAGGCAGAUGGUUGACUAAUAUGGUACCAGGAACGUAUAGAACGGUUUUAUUUCUACCGAUAUGUUCAAUGGGUUUUGUUUUCACCGUCACAUUAGCCUCAUACUGGAGAAAACUGUUCAUGUUUGAGCCGAACGUUAGAACCGUUACUUAACGCAUGUGGUUCGGUGAUGUGAAAAAAGUUGCAGGAAAAAAAGUGUUUAAAUGAUCACGUGAAAAAGGAGUGUGAAAUUAUAUAUAUUUUAAUUUUAUUAAAACUAUUUAAAUGUUUUAUCAACUUUUAGCGCUUCUAUAUAUUAUUUAAAAAUUAUAUAUAUAUAUAUAUUUUUUUUUUUUUUUAAUUAGGCGACGACGAACCUUCUCGUCUUUUCCAUUCCAAACUCCGGUCAAGCAGACUCCUCUCCAUCACUGCAGGCCCUUUCUGUUUUAUGUAUAAAAUAAAUAAGAGUUUAUUUAAGUCCGUGAUUAAAAAAUGCAAAUGUGCUCCUGUUGUUAAUAGACAGGGAGAGGGGACGGUUUGAUUUCUUGGACAUGUUUAAGGAACAGAGCCUGCAGCAGAAUCAGAGGACGGAGACAGAAACAGACAGAACAGCUUCUUAUUUUCACCCUCACAACAUUUUUAAUUGAUUUCCAGCUGCAACUGUGGACACACUGUGGUGUAAGAAAAAAAAGAAA
Long non-coding RNA from Cynoglossus semilaevis (tongue sole), 1145 nucleotides. RefSeq lists it as uncharacterized. The transcript has 2 exons. The record is from RefSeq and is a predicted model, not a curated record. NCBI's taxonomy places the organism in Eukaryota, Metazoa, Chordata, Actinopteri, Pleuronectiformes, Cynoglossidae.